UGCAUCGGACGGGAAUCGAACCCUGGCCGCCCGCGUGGCAGGCGAGCAUUCUACCACUGAACCACCGAUGC
This 71-nucleotide transfer RNA is filed under the name Cordylochernes scorpioides. Its description in RNAcentral is "tRNA-Gly". Lineage: Eukaryota; Metazoa; Arthropoda; Arachnida; Pseudoscorpiones; Chernetidae. The record is from RNAcentral.